This 72-nucleotide transfer RNA is filed under the name Camelus bactrianus (Bactrian camel). It matches the Rfam family "tRNA". From Rfam's summary of the family: Transfer RNA (tRNA) molecules are approximately 80 nucleotides in length. The record is from Rfam by way of RNAcentral. RNAcentral also lists the same sequence under 1 other name. Lineage: Eukaryota; Metazoa; Chordata; Mammalia; Artiodactyla; Camelidae.
GAGGGUAUAGCUCAAGUGGUAGAGUGCAUGCUUGGUGUGCACGCGGUCUUGGAUUCAAGUCCAGUACCUUCA